This 18-nucleotide small RNA is filed under the name Arabidopsis thaliana (thale cress). RNAcentral describes it as "ATSL120100". The record is from RNAcentral. Lineage: Eukaryota; Viridiplantae; Streptophyta; Magnoliopsida; Brassicales; Brassicaceae.
UAUCUUCUUCUUUUUUGU